RNAcentral lists this transfer RNA (67 nucleotides) under Pealius machili. RNAcentral describes it as "tRNA-Cys". Lineage: Eukaryota; Metazoa; Arthropoda; Insecta; Hemiptera; Aleyrodidae. The record is from RNAcentral.
AUAUUUAUAGUUAAUAUUAAUUAUAACAUUAAAAUGCAAUUUUAAAAUAAAUCAAAAUUUGAAUAUA